UGCAGUAGAACGCUGAAGAGAGGAGCUUGCUCUUCUUGGAUGAGUUGCGAACGGGUGAGUAACGCGUAGGUAACCUGCCUUGUAGCGGGGGAUAACUAUUGGAAACGAUAGCUAAUACCGCAUAACAAUGGAUGACACAUGUCAUUUAUUUGAAAGGGGCAAUUGCUCCACUACAAGAUGGACCUGCGUUGUAUUAGCUAGUAGGUGAGGUAAUGGCUCACCUAGGCGACGAUACAUAGCCGACCUGAGAGGGUGAUCGGCCACACUGGGACUGAGACACGGCCCAGACUCCUACGGGAGGCAGCAGUAGGGAAUCUUCGGCAAUGGGGGCAACCCUGACCGAGCAACGCCGCGUGAGUGAAGAAGGUUUUCGGAUCGUAAAGCUCUGUUGUAAGUCAAGAACGGGUGUGAGAGUGGAAAGUUCACACUGUGACGGUAGCUUACCAGAAAGGGACGGCUAACUACGUGCCAGCAGCCGCGGUAAUACGUAGGUCCCGAGCGUUGUCCGGAUUUAUUGGGCGUAAAGCGAGCGCAGGCGGUUUGAUAAGUCUGAAGUUAAAGGCUGUGGCUCAACCAUAGUUCGCUUUGGAAACUGUCAAACUUGAGUGCAGAAGGGGAGAGUGGAAUUCCAUGUGUAGCGGUGAAAUGCGUAGAUAUAUGGAGGAACACCGGUGGCGAAAGCGGCUCUCUGGUCUGUAACUGACGCUGAGGCUCGAAAGCGUGGGGAGCGAACAGGAUUAGAUACCCUGGUAGUCCACGCCGUAAACGAUGAGUGCUAGGUGUUGGAUCCUUUCCGGGAUUCAGUGCCGCAGCUAACGCAUUAAGCACUCCGCCUGGGGAGUACGACCGCAAGGUUGAAACUCAAAGGAAUUGACGGGGGCCCGCACAAGCGGUGGAGCAUGUGGUUUAAUUCGAAGCAACGCGAAGAACCUUACCAGGUCUUGACAUCCCGAUGCUAUUUCUAGAGAUAGAAAGUUACUUCGGUACAUCGGUGACAGGUGGUGCAUGGUUGUCGUCAGCUCGUGUCGUGAGAUGUUGGGUUAAGUCCCGCAACGAGCGCAACCCCUAUUGUUAGUUGCCAUCAUUCAGUUGGGCACUCUAGCGAGACUGCCGGUAAUAAACCGGAGGAAGGUGGGGAUGACGUCAAAUCAUCAUGCCCCUUAUGACCUGGGCUACACACGUGCUACAAUGGUUGGUACAACGAGUUGCGAGUCGGUGACGGCGAGCUAAUCUCUUAAAGCCAAUCUCAGUUCGGAUUGUAGGCUGCAACUCGCCUACAUGAAGUCGGAAUCGCUAGUAAUCGCGGAUCAGCACGCCGCGGUGAAUACGUUCCCGGGCCUUGUACACACCGCCCGUCACACCACGAGAGUUUGUAACACCCGAAGUCGGUGAGGUAACCUU
Molecule: ribosomal RNA, 1401 nt
Filed under: Streptococcus thermophilus
Lineage: Bacteria; Bacillati; Bacillota; Bacilli; Lactobacillales; Streptococcaceae
Description: bacterial SSU rRNA
Rfam family: Bacterial small subunit ribosomal RNA
Source: RNAcentral